RNAcentral lists this ribosomal RNA (501 nucleotides) under uncultured bacterium. RNAcentral describes it as "partial 16S ribosomal RNA". It matches the Rfam family "Bacterial small subunit ribosomal RNA", at positions 30 to 523 of the family's 1533-position model. The record is from RNAcentral.
AUUGAACGCUGGCGGCAGGCUUAACACAUGCAAGUCGAGCGGAGAUGAGGUGCUUGCACCUUAUCUUAGCGGCGGACGGGUGAGUAAUGCUUCGGAAUCUGCCUAUUAGUGGGGGACAACAUUCCGAAAGGAAUGCUAAUACCGCAUACGUCCUACGGGAGAAAGCAGGGGAUCUUCGGACCUUGCGCUACUAGAUGAGCCUAAGUCGGAUUAGCUAGUUGGUGGGGUAAAGGCCUACCAAGGAGACGAUCUGUAGCGGGUCUGAGAGGAUGAUCCACCACACUGGGACUGAGACACGGCCCAGACUCCUACGGGAGGCAGCAGUGGGGAAUAUUGGACAAUGGGGGGAACCCUGAUCCAGCCAUGCCGCGUGUGUGAAGAAGGCCUUAUGGUUGUAAAGCACUUUAAGCGAGGAGGAGGCUACUGAGAAAAAUACUCUUGGAUAGUGGACGUUACUCGCUGAAUAAGCACCGGCUAACUCUGUGCCAGCCGCCGCGGUAA